AUUGAACGCUGGCGGCAGGCUUAACACAUGCAAGUCGAGCGGGGUGAUGGUGCUUGCACUAUCACUUAGCGGCGGACGGGUGAGUAAUGCUUAGGAAUCUGCCUAUUAGUGGGGGACAACAUCUCGAAAGGGAUGCUAAUACCGCAUACGUCCUACGGGAGAAAGCAGGGGAUCACUUGUGACCUUGCGCUAAUAGAUGAGCCUAGGUCGGAUUAGCUAGUUGGUGGGGUAAAGGCCUACCAAGGCGACGAUCUGUAGCGGGUCUGAGAGGAUGAUCCGCCACACUUGGACUGAGACACCGCCCAGACUCCUACGGGAGGCAGCAGUGGGGAAUAUUGGACAAUGGGGGGAACCCUGAACCAGCCAUGCCGCGUGUGUGAAGAAGGCCUUAUGGUUGUAAAGCACUUUAAGCGAGGAGGAGGCUCUUUUGGUUAAUACCCAAGAUGAGUGGACGUUACUCGCAGAAUAAGCACCGGCUAACUCUGUGCCAGCCGCCGCAGUAA
RNAcentral lists this ribosomal RNA (503 nucleotides) under uncultured bacterium. Its description in RNAcentral is "partial 16S ribosomal RNA". It matches the Rfam family "Bacterial small subunit ribosomal RNA", at positions 30 to 523 of the family's 1533-position model. The record is from RNAcentral.